GAUUUCUGGUUGGGCGCAUUUGGCCCGCUUCGGUUACGAGGUUGAGUGCCGUUUUGCGCCCGCCAUCCUUCUAGAGUACGACUCUCCCUUUACUGGGUUGGGCCGGAAUCUAGAUCAUUUACUUUGAAAAAAUUAGAGUGUUUAAAGCAGGCUUACGCUAUGAAUACAUUAGCAUGGAAUAAUAAUAUAGGACUUUGGUUCUAUUUUGUUGGUUUCUAGGACUGAAGUAAUGAUUGAUAGGGAUAGUUGGGGGUGCUAGUAUUCAGUGGCCAGAGGUGAAAUUCUUGGAUUCACUGAAGACUAACUACUGCGAAAGCAUU
This 320-nucleotide ribosomal RNA is filed under the name uncultured Cercomonas. Its description in RNAcentral is "SSU rRNA". The stretch from base 103 to 320 matches the Rfam family "Eukaryotic small subunit ribosomal RNA", at positions 736 to 955 of the family's 1831-position model. The record is from RNAcentral. Lineage: Eukaryota; Cercozoa; Cercomonadida; Cercomonadidae.